GUAAGCUCGAACGAGCGUGCGGUGGAUGCCUUGGCGCAGAUGGCCGAAGAAGGGCGUGGCCAACCACGAAACGCGUCGGUGAGGUGUUAGCAACCUAACCCGGCGAUACCCGAAUGGGGAAACCCGGCACCCGUAUAGGGGUGUCAUCUCUAUAUGAGAAGGCUAAGCGGGCGAACUGAAACAUCUUAGUAGCUCGCGAGAAGAAAUCAACCGAGAUUCCCUGAGUAGUGGCGAGCGAAAGGGGAAGAGCCUAAACCACCUAGAUGUCAAGGCUGUGGCCGUUGUCUAGGAGGUGUUGUGGGGCUGCCAGGAGGAGACCACAGAUCCUCGCGUUUAAUGCAUGCUAGCCGAAUGGUUCAGGAAAGACCAACCAAAGAGGGUAAUGGUCCCGUAGGCGAAAGCAUCGCAAGCGGCGUGUGGCAGUACCCGAGUAAGGCGGAGCCCUGAGAUUCCGUCUGAAUCUGGGUGGACCACCAUCCAAGGCUAAACACCAUCUGCGACCGAUAGUGUACCAGUACCGUGAGGGAAAGGUGAAAAGAACCGGGAGAGCCGGAGUGAAAUAGAUCUGAAACCGUACGCUUACAAUCAGUCAGAGCCCGUCUAAUCGGGUGAUGGCGUACCUUUUGUAGAAUGGACCGGCGAGUUAUUUUCAGCAGCGAUAGGUUAAGACGGUGAACGUCGAAGCCGCAGGGAAACCGAGUCUCAACAGGGCGACUAGUUGCUGGAGAUAGACCCGAAACUGGGUGAGCUACCCAUGGCCAGGGUGAAGCGUGUGUAACAACUCGUGGAGGCCCGAACCAGGGACGGUUGAAAACGUCUUGGAUGAGCUGUGGGUAGAGGUGAAACGCCAAUCGAACCCAGAUAUAGCUGGUUCUCCCCGAAAUAUAUUUAGGUAUAGCCUUGCGUGAUCCCCAUCGGAGGUAGAGCACUGAAAGGACUAGGGGCCUUACCCGGUUACCAAACCCUAUCAAACUCCGAAUGCCGAUGGGCAAAGCGCAGGAGUCAGUCCGCGGGGGAUAAGCUUCGCGGGCAAGAGGGAAACACCCCAGACCAUCGUCUAAGGCCCCUAAAUUCUAGCUUAGUGGGAAAGGAUGUGGAGAGGUUCAGACAACCAGGAGGUUGGCUUAGAAGCAGCCACCCUUUAAAGAGUGCGUAAUAGCUCACUGGUCGAGUCUUUCUGCGCCGAAAAUGUAACGGGGCUCAAGCUAGAUGCCGAAGCCGUGGAUCAAUGCAAAUUGGUGGUAGGGGAGCGUCGCGCGUUAGGUAGAAGGAUGACCGUGAGGGCGUCUGGACGAAGCGCGAGUGAGAAUGCCGGUAUGAGUAGCGAAAAAGAGCGUGAGAAUCGUUCUGGCCGAAAACCCAAGGUUUCUUAAGCAAGGCUCGUCCUCUUAAGUUUAGGCGGUCCUAAGGCGAGGCCGAGAGGCGUAGUCGAUGGACAGCAGGUUGAUAUUCCUGCCCCACGUUUUGGAGCGAUGCAGGGACGCGGUGAACAAGAUCAGCGGACUGCUGGAUGUUCGUGAGCGGGCGUAGGUGUGCCGUAGGUAAAUCCGCGGCAGGAAACCGAGACCCGGGACGCAAGAAGCCGCAAGGCGACUGAAGUGAUUGGAUGCACCGACAAGAAAAGCUGCUAAGCGAUGAAGAAACGUGACCGUACCGAUAACCGACACAGGUGGGUAGGCUGAGUAUGCUAAGGCCAGCGUGAUAACCCUCGCUAAGGAACUCGGCAAAUUAGCUCCGUAACUUCGGGAUAAGGAGCGCCCUCAGUAGGCUGACCACUUCGCGUGGAAGGUUGAAAGGGGUCGCAGUGAAAUGGCCCGGGCGACUGUUUAUCAAAAACAUAGGUCCCUGCUAAACCGUAAGGUGAUGUAUAGGGGCUGACGCCUGCCCAAUGCUAGUAGGUUAAGGGGAGGUGUGCAAGCACCGAUCCGAAGCCCUAGUGAAUGGCGGCCGUAACUAUAACGGUCCUAAGGUAGCGAAAUUCCUUGUCGGGUAAG
RNAcentral lists this ribosomal RNA (1994 nucleotides) under fermentation metagenome. Its description in RNAcentral is "bacterial LSU rRNA". It matches the Rfam family "Bacterial large subunit ribosomal RNA", at positions 1 to 1980 of the family's 2925-position model. The record is from RNAcentral.